GAUGAAGAACGUAGCGAAAUGCGAUAAGUAGUGUGAAUUGCAGAAUUCAGUGAAUCAUCGAAUCUUUGAACGCACAUUGCGCCCUUUGGUAUUCCUUAGGGCAUGCCUGUUCGAGCGUCAUUUCAACCCUCAAGCACAGCUUGGUCUUGGGCUUCGCCGCUAACCCGGCGGGUCUUAAAAUCAGUGGCGGUGCCGUCGGGCCCUGAGCGCAGUAAUCUCUCUCGCUAUAGGGUCCCGGCGGAUGCUGGCCAGUAACCCCCAAUUUUCUAUGGUUGACCUCGGAUCAGGUAGGGAUACCCGCUGAACUUAAGCAUAUCAAUAAGCGGAGGA
RNAcentral lists this unclassified non-coding RNA (330 nucleotides) under soil metagenome. RNAcentral describes it as "partial contains 5.8S ribosomal RNA, internal transcribed spacer 2, and large subunit ribosomal RNA". The stretch from base 1 to 120 matches the Rfam family "5.8S ribosomal RNA", at positions 35 to 154 of the family's 154-position model. The record is from RNAcentral.